RNAcentral lists this ribosomal RNA (372 nucleotides) under uncultured organism. RNAcentral's name for it is "bacterial SSU rRNA". It matches the Rfam family "Bacterial small subunit ribosomal RNA", at positions 526 to 896 of the family's 1533-position model. The record is from RNAcentral.
CAGAGGUGUCAAACGUUGUCCGGAAUUAUUGGGCGUAAAGGGCGUGUAGGCGGCCGGGUAAGUGAGAUGUGAAAGCUCUGGGCUCAACCCAGGAAUUGCAUUUCAUACUGCUCGGCUCGAGAUUGGUAGAGGAUGGCGGAAUUCCAGGUGUAGCGGUGAAAUGCGUAGAUAUCUGGAGGAACACCUGUGGCGAAGGCGGCUAUCUGGUCCAAUUCUGACGCUGAGGCGCGAAAGGUAGGGGAGCAAACAGGAUUAGAUACCCUGGUAGUCCUACCCGUAAACGAUGAGUACUAGGUGUUGGAGGUAUCGACCCCUUCAGUGCCGUAGCUAACGCAAUAAGUACUCCGCCUGGGAACUACGGUCGCAAGACUG